GUUUGACGCAACAAGUAGCAAAAAAGAAGUUCCCGAUUUUGCUUCCCAAUUUACUGCAAGAGAUCAUUUGGACUCUAAACCUCUGAAAGGACUGAGAGUUGGUCUGAUCCGGGACACCAUUGAAGAUGGAGUUGACCCGGACGUAAUUUCUUCAAUCCGUGGUGCUGCAAGUCAUCUUGAAGAACUCGGAUGCACUGUCACCGAGGUCUCUUUGCCAUCCUUCUCUCUU
Molecule: unclassified non-coding RNA, 229 nt
Filed under: Hevea brasiliensis (rubber tree)
Lineage: Eukaryota; Viridiplantae; Streptophyta; Magnoliopsida; Malpighiales; Euphorbiaceae
Source: RNAcentral